AACGAACGCUGGCGGCAUGCCUAACACAUGCAAGUCGAACGAGACCUUCGGGUCUAGUGGCGCACGGGUGCGUAACGCGUUGGAACCUUCCCUUAGGUUCGGAAUAACUCCCCGAAAGGGGUGCUAAUACCGGUUAAUGUCUUCGGACCAAAGAUUUAUCGCCUUUUGAUGGGCCCGCGUUGGAUUAGCUAGUUGGUAGGGUAAAAGCCUACCAAGGCGACGAUCCAUAGCUGUUCUGAGAGGAUGAUCAGCCACACUGGGACUGAGACACGGCCCAGACUCCUACGGGAGGCAGCAGUGGGGAAUAUAGGACAAUGGGCGAAAGCCUGAUCCAGCAAUGCCGCGUGAGUGAUGAAGGCCUUAGGGUUGUAAAGCUCUUUUAACCGGGAUGAUAAUGACAGUACCGGGAGAAUAAGCACCGGCUAACUCCGUG
Molecule: ribosomal RNA, 433 nt
Filed under: uncultured bacterium
Lineage: Bacteria
Description: partial 16S ribosomal RNA
Rfam family: Bacterial small subunit ribosomal RNA
Source: RNAcentral